GCCCCCGCACUGGGCCCUUAUGCGCUUUGCUUCCAGUUCCACCGACUGCAGCAUCUUUCUUUGCUAGCUGCCCGGGUCCUGCUCCGCUUCGCAGUGGAAUGGAACGGAUUUAGAAGCCUGCAGUAGGGGAGUGGGGAGUGGAGAGAGGGAGCCCAGAGUUACAGACGGCGGCGAGAGGAAGGAGGGGCGUCUUUAUUUUUUUAAGGCCCCAAAGAGUCUGAUGUUUACAAGACCAGAAAUGCCACGGCCGCGUCCUGGCAGAGAAAAGGCUGAAAUGGAGGACCGGCGCCUUCCUUAUAAGUAUGCACAUUGGCGAGAGAAGUGCUGCAACCUAAACCAGCAAUUACACCCAAGCUCGUUGGGGCCUAAGCCAGUACCGACCUGGUAGAAAAAGCAACCACGAAGCUAGAGAGAGAGCCAGAGGAGGGAAGAGAGCGCCAGACGAAGGUGAAAGCGAACCACGCAGAGAAAUGCAGGCAAGGGAGCAAGGCGGCAGUUCCCGGAACAAACGUGGCAGAGGGCAAGACGGGCACUCACAGACAGAGGUUUAUGUAUUUUUAUUUUUUAAAAUCUGAUUUGGUGUUCCAUGAGGAAAAGGGAAAAUCUAGGGAACGGGAGUACAGAGAGAAUAAUCCGGGUCCUAGCUCGCCACAUGAACGCCCAGAGAACGCUGGAAAAACCUGAGCGGGUGCCGGGGCAGCACCCGGCUCGGGUCAGCCACUGCCCCACACCGGGCCCACCAAGCCCCGCCCCUCGCGGCCACCGGGGCUUCCUUGCUCUUCUUAUCAUCUCCAUCUUUAUGAUGAGGCUUGUUAACAAGACCAGAGAGCUGGCCAAGCACCUCUAUCUCAGCCGCGCCCGCUCAGCCGAGCAGCGGUCGGUGGGGGGACUGGGAGGCGCUAAUUAAUUGAUUCCUUUGGACUGUAAAAUAUGGCGGCGUCUACACGGAACCCAUGGACUCAUAAACAAUAUAUCUGUUGGGCGUGAGUGCACUGUCUCUCAAAUAAUUUUUCCAUAGGCAAAUGUCAGAGGGUUCUGGAUUUUUAGUUGCUAAGGAAAGAUCCAAAUGGGACCAAUUUUAGGAGGCCCAAACAGAGUCCGUUCAGUGUCAGAAAAUGCUUCCCCAAAGGGGUUGGGAGUGUGUUUUGUUGGAAAAAAGCUUGGGUUAUAGGAAAGCCUUUCCCUGCUACUUGUGUAGACCCAGCCCAAUUUAAGAAUUACAAGGAAGCGAAGGGGUUGUGUAGGCCGGAAGCCUCUCUGUCCCGGCUGGAUGCAGGGGACUUGAGCUGCUCCGGAAUUUGAGAGGAACAUAGAAGCAAAGGUCCAGCCUUUGCUUCGUGCUGAUUCCUAGACUUAAGAUUCAAAAACAAAUUUUUAAAAGUGAAACCAGCCCUAGCCUUUGGAAGCUCUUGAAGGUUCAGCACCCACCCAGGAAUCCACCUGCCUGUUACACGCCUCUCCAAGACACAGUGGCACCGCUUUUCUAACUGGCAGCACAGAGCAACUCUAUAAUAUGCUUAUAUUAGGUCUAGAAGAAUGCAUCUUGAGACACAUGGGUAACCUAAUUAUAUAAUGCUUGUUCCAUACAGGAGUGAUUAUGCAGUGGGACCCUGCUGCAAACGGGACUUUGCACUCUAAAUAUAGACCCCAGCUUGGGACAAAAGUUGCAGUAGAAAAAUAGACAUAGGAGAACACUUAAAUAAGUGAUGCAUGUAGACACAGAAGGGGUAUUUAAAAGACAGAAAUAAUAGAAGUACAGAAGAACAGAAAAAAAAUCAGCAGAUGGAGAUUACCAUUCCCAAUGCCUGAACUUCCUCCUGCUAUUAAGAUUGCUAGAGAAUUGUGUCUUAAACAGUUCAUGAACCCAGAAGAAUGCAAUUUCAAUGUAUUUAGUACACACACAGUAUGUAUAUAAACACAACUCACAGAAUAUAUUUUCCAUACAUUGGGUAGGUAUGCACUUUGUGUAUAUAUAAUAAUGUAUUUUCCAUGCAGUUUUAAAAUGUAGAUAUAUUAAUAUCUGGAUGCAUUUUCUGUGCACUGGUUUUAUAUGCCUUAUGGAGUAUAUACUCACAUGUAGCUAAAUAGACUCAGGACUGCACAUUCCUUGUGUAGGUUGUGUGUGUGUGGUGGUUUUAUGCAUAAAUAAAGUUUUACAUGUGGU
RNAcentral lists this long non-coding RNA (2164 nucleotides) under Homo sapiens (human). Its description in RNAcentral is "HOX transcript antisense RNA variant G1.3". The record is from RNAcentral. Lineage: Eukaryota; Metazoa; Chordata; Mammalia; Primates; Hominidae.